This is a long non-coding RNA of Sphaeramia orbicularis (orbiculate cardinalfish), 123 nucleotides long. RefSeq lists it as uncharacterized. The record is from RefSeq and is a predicted model, not a curated record. NCBI's taxonomy places the organism in Eukaryota, Metazoa, Chordata, Actinopteri, Kurtiformes, Apogonidae. The transcript is spliced from 3 exons.
CAUGUCUGCAGCUUCGGUCAGUGCGUCUGUUGGUAACUGGGAUUUUGUUUAAGAAACAAAAGAAAAAUUAGUGGUUAAUUUGAUUUUUGUUUUAAAAUAGAAGAAUUCAAAUUGAAUUUCAAG